Molecule: microRNA precursor, 105 nt
Filed under: Canis lupus familiaris (dog)
Lineage: Eukaryota; Metazoa; Chordata; Mammalia; Carnivora; Canidae
Also listed under: 1 other name
Description: mir-8834 microRNA precursor family
Rfam family: mir-8834 microRNA precursor family
Source: Rfam by way of RNAcentral
AGGAGGAACAACUGCAGUGGCGGCGGCAGCUCUGCAGCCCUGGAGUCAGCUCCCGCAGUAGCUCCAGAGCUCUCCGUCUGCAGGGCCUGGAGGCUCCGGGGCGGG